UCAGGGGCAUGGAUAGGCUGACAUCACUCGCACAUACCACAGGGUGUGCUGCUGAUAUUGCGCUGUCCCACCCCAAUUGCAGGGGCAAGGUGGCACACUUGAUUCCCAGGUGCCACCCCAUAGUGACCUCACUCUGCAUUCUCCUAGGGUGCUUCUGCCUGGUUGGAAUGUGUCCCUAAAAUGUGGUUAUGGCUCCUGCUUGCCUCGAUGGAGGAUUGAGAGAUAUGUUAAGGUUGUGGCUCUAUGUAGAAACCUCUGACUUCUAUUCUACAAAGGUAAGAGUCUCCCCUGAUGCUCUGCUUACUUCUGCCUCUGCACCCAUCCACCACUUGCAUGUGGCCCUAGGAAGCUUGCUCAUGUGGGAAUAUGGCCCUGGGGCUGAAAAAAGAUCCCCCACCUUUUCAUAAACAGUUGUUUGAUGUUGAAGUGAGUUGUGAGCCCUGACAAGAGAUCCUGAAAGGAGGGGUGAAUUCUCUACCCCCCCAACAAUAUAUUAUUAAAAAGAAAAGGAGGCACAGAAUGGAUAAUGAAGAGCAGUAUAUAUUGAUGAGGUUGCAGAACAAGGUCAAUAGGCAGAAGAGGCCUAUUAAUAACUGGAAUAUGAAGCCACAGAAAAAUGUCAGCAUACCAAUCUUAAUAAGCCAAUAAUAGCACCCCCACCUUGAGUCCUGUCAGCAGUAGAGACCUGGUAGGUCCAAUGCAUGUUACAGAUACUUUGGGGAUAAUGGUGAGUUAGCAAGCUGAGUGCAAAAUUCCCUUGCACAUUAGAUGCAAAGGCAGGUUUAAUACCACAUAUUGUUGGGCCCUAAGUGUGAUGGAUUACUUGAAAGGAAAUGUAGAGUUUUGAUUUUACUAAGAGCAAGAGCCCCUUCAUGGAUCACUGCCUUGCCGUGGUGAAGGGGCUUGAAUAACUCGGAGAAGCUAUGCGCUAUGCCGUGCAGGGCCACCCAAGAUGGACAGGUCAUAGUGGAGAGUUUUGACCAAACGUGAUCCACCUGGAGCAGGAACCGGCAAGCCACUCCAGUAUCCCUGCCAAGAAAACUCCAUGGACAAAGACAAAAGGCAUAUAAAAGUUAUGACGCUGGAAGAUGAGCCCCUCAGGUCGGAAGGCGUCCAACAUGCUACUGAGGAAGAGCAGAGGACAAGUACAAGUAGAUUCAGAGCUGAUGAAGAGGCUGGGCCAAAGCCGAAAGGACGCUCAGUUGUGGAUAUGCCUGGAAAGGAAAGUCCAAUGCUGUACAGAAAAAUAUUGCAUAGGAACCUGGAAUGUAAGAACCAUGAAUCUUGGUAAGUUGGAUGUGGUCAAAAAUGAGAUGGCAAGAAUAAAUAUUGACAUCCUGGGCAUCAGUGAACUAAAAUGGACGGGAAUGGGCGAAUUCAGUUUGGAUGACCAUCAUAUCUACUACUGUGGGCAAGAAUCCCGUAAAAGAAGUGGAGUGGCCCUCAUAGUCAACAAAAGAGUGGCAAAAGCUGUAUUGGGAUGCAAUCUCAAAAAUGAUAGAAUGAUCUCGAUACUGAAUCCAAGGCAGACCUUUUAACAUCACAGUAAUCCAAGUUUAUGCACCAACCACUGGUGCUGAAGAAAAUGAAAUUGACCAAUUCUAUGAAGACUUACAACACCUUAUAGAAUUGACACCAAAGAAGGAUGUUCUUCUCAUUAUAGGGGAUUGGAAUGCUAAAGUAGGGAGUCAAGAGAUAAAAGGAACAACUGGCAAGUUUGGCCUUGGAGUUCAAAACGAAGCAGGGCAAAGGCUAAUAGAGUUCUGCCAAGAGAACAAGCUGGUCAUAACAACCACUCUUUUCCAACAACACAAGAGACGACUCUACACAUGGACAUCACCAGAUGGGCAGCAUCGAAAUCAGAUUGAUUAUAUUCUCUGCAGCCAAAGAUGGAGAAGCUCUAUACAGUCAGCAAAAACAAGACCUGGGGCGGACUGUGGCUCAGAUCAUCAGCUUCUUAUAGCAAAAUUCAAGCUUAAACUGAAGAAAGUAGGAAAAACCACUGGGCCGGUAAGAUACUGUCAGGGAACUGCCAUCGGAAGGAAGGGAGGUGAAAGGACUCAGACAGGUUGGAAGAGAUUCAGCAGCUGAAGAGGGAACCAGCAAGGGGAGAGAAGCUGAACUGAGGGAGGUGAAAGGGCUCAGACAGGUUGGAAGAGACUCAGCAGCGGAAGAGGAAACCAGCAGGGGGAGACAAGCUGAACUGAGGGAAAGGGAGCUGGGGGGAUGGCUCAGAGAUACUUCCAGCGAAAACAGUGGUGAGGUUUCCGGACCUCCUGUAGCGACACCCACUCCUCGCCGGAAACUGUCACGCAGAGAGUCCAGAAGACGUGUUUCCGUUAAGGAGCUUUUAUGUUGGAAGCGAUUACGAAAGCAACCACUGUCGGAAUCUUCUAGUGACUAGAGGAGCCAUGUCAGAGGGGCUCAGUCACAGACAGAGGUUUGUGGACUUGAACAAACUCUGAGGGAAUACGAUUUUACGCACAAGCAGCUCAUAAUCCCAUCACAGCAUUCCGACAGUCUUUGAACGCAGCUUGUGCAGGAGAAGGCAUAAUGAGCAACCCAGCAGGAACCGGAGAAGCAGGGGCUGGAGCGGGUCCAAGCCUGGAAGAAAGGUACCGGGUGUUGGAGGUCCAGCUGGCGCUGCAGACGGCGAGGCUGGAGGAGAGGAGGGCUCAAGAUGCAGACAAAGGGAGAAAGCCACCGAGCUCGCCAGAAAGGUACCAGGAUUGGUGCAGAAAUUUGGGGGGGAGCCCAAAGACUAUCAUAGCUUUCGGACAGAAAUGCAAUAUGCCCUCAAUCUGCAGUUUGAUGAUUUCCUGAUGAGGAAUCACGAGUGGCUUUUGUGAUUGGGCAUCUUGAAAAGGGGGCGAGAGACUGGGUGAGACCCCUGAUGGCAGCGCAUAGUGACGUCCUAAAGGACACGAUGAAGUUCUUUCGCGCCAUGGAUCUGAUGUUUUCCAGCGAUAUUGAAAAGGGAGUGGUGCGCAGACAGUUAAUGGCUUGCAAACAGGGGAGCCGAUCUGUACGUGAGUACUGGACUGAGUUCACCAUGCUGAUACACAGAUUGGGGUGGGACUUAUCGGCGGAACCCAUUCAAAUGCUCUUUGAAGAAGGGCUUUCUUCGGCGGUGAAAGAUGAACUUUCCCGGGCGCCCAGGGCGGAGUCUAUGGACCAGCUGACCAAAUCAGCGCUGGCCAUAGGAGCGCGCCAGGAGGCGAGAGCAUUGGAGAGGCGGGAAGGGAAAGGGGAACGUUGGAAGGAGUUCCGCAUUCCAGACAUUCCAGAGCCAACUGUCCCGCCGGCAGAGCCGAUGGAAAUCGGAACAGCGCGCGCGCGCGCAGUUUCAAAGCCCAGUGAGGGGGGAAGAAGGAUGGAAAAGGCGCCCGGAAAUGCUAUCUCUGCCAACAGCCAGGGCACUUUGCCAGAGUCUGUCCCCAGAGGAAGGAAUGGCAAGGGAUGGUGGGAGCUGUGGAGGGAAGAGAGGAACUAAUACCGGAGCAACUAAAAGCCAACGCCUGGCUGCCAUUGUCGGGGCAGCCAGGCCAAAGAGCAGUGAAAGUGCCCACUCCAGAACCUCCUAAACCCGCCCUAGUGAUAGAAGUGACACUAGAGCUGCCAAACGGACACCCUCUAAAGAUAAAGGCGCUGUUGGACUCAGGCAGCUCCUGCAAUUUCAUGAGCAAAGAGUUUGCAGCUGAACACCAGAUACAGACGCUCCCUUUAAGCAACCCCUGCAGGUAACCACGAUCGAUGGCAGGGAGCUGUUGGGAGGAGAAGUCAGCUUGCAGACCGUCCCAAUGAUAAUGAAGGUGGCAAGGCACACCGAACUAAUAGCAUUUAAUGUGGCCACCUUGGGAGGAGCUCCCAUUAUAUUGGGGAUGAGCUGGCUAGCAUUACAUGAUCCGCUGGUGGGCUGGCAUCAAAGAGUGGUUUCUUUUGGGUCAGCACAUUGCUUAGAACAUUGCAAAGAGGGAAGGGUUUUGGCAGGGGCCCAAGCCACUCUAGCAGGGACUGAAGUGACGGAGAACGUGAAGGUACCACGACAAUACGCAGAUCUCCGCGACGUCUUCAGCGAAAGGGAAGCUGACCAACUACCACCGCAUAGAGCCUUUGACUGUCAAAUCAAUUUGCUCCCUGGGGCACAGCUCCCUGUGGGCAAGCUGUACGCCAUGUCAGACAGAGAGAUGCAGGAGCUAAGAGAGUUCAUUGACAAGAACCUGAAGAGAGGGUUCAUCAGAGAGUCCAGGGCGGUGGGGGGCAGCCCAGGGUUUUUUGUGGACAAAAAAAAAACACGAACAAGCCGAGACUGGUGUGUGACUUCAGGGCCUUAAAUGCAGUGUCAGAACCAGUGGCCUUCCCGAUGCCCAGGAUUGACGACAUUUUGACAAGGGUGCGGAAGGGAAAGAUUUUUACCAAGCUGGAUCUAAGGGGGGCGUACAACCUGAUACGAAUAAGGAAGGGGGAUGAAUGGAAAACCACCAUGUUCACCCCUUUAGGGGCAUUUGAAUACUUAGUUAUGCCCUUCGGUCUACAAGCAGGCUCCGCAACAUUUCAAUCGUUUAUGAACCACGUCCUGGGGCCGUUGCUUUACAAGAAUUGUGUGGCCUUCUUAGACGACGUGUUGGUGUAUUCUGAGAAUGAGGAGCAGCAUGUGAGAGACGUCAGAGAAGUGUUGAGCAGGCUGCAAGCCAACCAGCUGUGGGUGAAACUGGAGAAGUGUCAGUUUCAUACCAAGGAGGUGGAAUUCCUGGGGUAUCGCCUGUCUGACAAGGGGUUGGCCAUGGAUCCCGACAAGGUCCAGGCGGUACUGGAAUGGAAAACACCCAAAACAAGGAAGGAUGUGCAGAGGUUUUUAGGGUUUGGGAACUUCUAUCGUAAGUUCAUCCCAAACUUUGCCCACCUGACGGCGCCCAUUACGGACUGUCUCAGCAGUAAGAAGAAGUUCGUUUGGACGGAGGAGGCGGAGCAAGCAUUUGAGGAACUAAAAGGGCCUUCGCCUCGGAACAACAGCUCCUGCAUGUGGAUUUACAAAACCGAUGAGAGUGGAAACUGACGCAUCAGACAGAGCGGUUGGGGCGGUGCUUCUCCAGCCAGGGAAGGAGGAGUCAGAGUGGAGACCGUGUGCUUUUUUCGCGAAAGCUGAACAAAUCCGAGAGGAACUACACGGUGUAUGACCGAGAACUACUAGCCAUUCAUGAGGCGUUCCGGAGAUGGAGGCACCUGCUAAUUGGCGCACAACAUAAGGUGCAAGUGUGCACUGACCACAAGAACCUAGAGUAUUGGAGGACGGCACGAGUGCUCAACCAACGGCAAGUGAGAUGGGCCCAGGAAUUCUCCAAAUUUAACUUUGAGAUUUGUUACGUGCCAGGCCCAGAGAACAUUAGGGCGGACGCUCUCUCACGCAAACCUGAAUAUUGGGAUGGGGAGGGAGCACCCGAAGAGAGACAUGUCAUUCCAGAGGACCGCUGGGUGUGUGGGGCGGCAUUGGUGGGACAAAGAGAACUGGUAGAAGAAACAGAGAAUGAUGAAUACGCCCAGAAUAAGCUCAGAGGUCUUAGGGAUGAGGGAGAGGAAUCAAGGGGUUUCGAGGAAAGAAAUGGAGCUUUGUAUUACAAAGGGGCACUGUAUAUCCCUGAAGGAGACUUAAGGGGAGGGUACUCAAGCAGUUGCAUGACAGCCCCACGGCGGGCAUUUUGGGCAACACAAAACCAUGUGGUUGGUCACCAGGGAAUUUUGGUGGCCUAAGGUGAGGGAGGAUGUACGUGAGUAUGUAAGAGGGUGCGAGCAGUGCCAGCGAGCCAAAGGGGAAAGGCGGGCGCCGGCGGGGCUAUUAGAACCCUUACCAACACCAGAACGACCUUGGGAGGCAGUGUCGAUAGAUUUUAUGACUGAUCUGCCGAAGUCCAAAGGGAAAACAGCCAUCAUGGUGGUGGUAGACCUACUAACUAAGAUGUGCCACUUUGUAGCUUGCUCGCAUGCAGUCACGGCGGAAGAGACAGCGAAGUUAUUUGUAGAACACAUUUUUAGGUUGCACGGGGUGCCAUUGAGGGUGGUCUCAGACCGAGGAAAACAAUUUACUUCCAGGUUCUGGAGGAAGCUCAUGAGCUUACUGCAGGUGGAGGUCAACUUUUCGACUGCCCGGCACCCUGAAACCAACGGGCAGGCGGAAAGAGCAAACGGUGUCCUCCAGCAAUACCUGAGGUGUUAUGUCAAUGACAGAGAGAAUGACUGGGUAGAAAAGUUGGCGCUGGCGGAAUUUGCCUACAACAAUGCCGAGAAUGUGUCCACAGGGAUGAGCCCCUUCUUGGCUAAUUAUGGGUGUCAUCCCAGGGCUUUCCCAGGGGAGAAGGGGAGAGAUGGAGCGUACCGGCAGCCGAGCAUUUUGUAGAAGAAAUGGAAGCAAUCCACCGUCAGCUCCAACUCAACUUAGAAAGGGCGAAGGAAGAAUACAAGAGGCAGGCAGACAAGAACCGAAGGGAAGGUGAAACCAUAAGGGUUGGAGAUAGGGUGUGGCUGUCAACCCGAGGGGUGCCGUUCAAAGGAGGUUGUAAGAAAUUACGACCCAGGAGGUUGGGUCCCUUUGAGGUCAUUCAACAGGUCAACCCAGUGGCUUUCAGGCUCCGGUUACCCAACCACAUGAAACUGCACCCAGUAUUUCACAGGUCGUUACUGUCACCGUACGAGGGGGGACGAGAAGGGAUGGACACUAGGGGACCGGUCAUAGAAGAAAGAGAAUGCAGCAGUCAUGUGGCAGAAAUCCUUGAUGCCAGGUGGAAGGGGAAUCAGGUGGAGUAUUUGGUAGCGUGGGAAGGAGAACCGGAGUCAGAAAACACGUGGGUAAUGGCCAAAGAUAUCAAUGACGAGGUAUUGAUAGAAAUGUUCCAUCAAAGGUUCCCGCGGAAACCUCAGCCUGUGGAGAGGUUCCGGAGGGAAUACUUUGGGACCACUGAGGAGGAGGAGGAGUUGGAAGGAUUCCCAGAAUCGGAAGGGGAAGGGGAGAUGGACUCGGAGGAGGAGGAGUGCUUCGAGACCAGGAACCGCAACAGGUGGAGAGAAGUGUUCGAGACAUCGGAAGAUGAAGGAAGUUCAUUCCGGGUUUUGCCUCCUCACCGCCCGUAGAGGAGGGGGCGAGAGGGGGUGAAGGGGGCCCUGGAGGGGAGGUGGAUGUCAGGGAACUGCCAUCGGAAGGAAGGGAGGUGAAAGGACUCAGACAGGUUGGAAGAGAUUCAGCAGCUGAAGAGGGAACCAGCAAGGGAGAGAAGCUGAACUGAGGGAGGUGAAAGGGCUCAGACAGGUUGGAAGAGACUCAGCAGCGGAAGAGGAAACCAGCAGGGGAGACAAGCUGAACUGAGGGAAAGGGAGCUGGGGGAUGGCUCAGAGAUACUUCCAGCGAAAACAGUGGUGAGGUUUCCGGACCUCCUGUAGCGACACCCACUCCUCGCCGGAAACUGUCACGCAGAGAGUCCAGAAGACGUGUUUCCGUUAAGGAGCUUUUAUGUUGGAAGCGAUUACGAAAGCAACCACUGUCGGAAUCUUCUAGUGACUAGAGGAGCCAUGUCAGAGGGGCUCAGUCACAGACAGAGGUUUGUGGACUUGAACAAACUCUGAGGGAAUACGAUUUUACGCAAGCNNNNNNNNNNNNNNNNNNNNNNNNNNNNNNNNNNNNNNNNNNNNNNNNNNNNNNNNNNNNNNNNNNNNNNNNNNNNNNNNNNNNNNNNNNNNNNNNNNNNACAACAACAAGAGCAAGAGCUUUUACUCUCUCGUUACACACAAAAUGAAACCCAGUUUGGUGAAGGGCAGUGUACAGGUAACUAUUUUGAAAAGAAAAGUCAUUUUAAGGCUACUAAGAACAUUGUGAGGAGAAAAAGAUCACUGCCCUCAGCGAAACAUGGGGAUAGCCAUCUUUUUCUCUGUGAAACUCCCCAUGAAGAGGCUGUAGGUUACUAUGUAUAGUAGCUUUCUGGGAACAUUUUAACAUAGUUUGAGGGGUAUUUUAGUACUCAGACACAGAACUGCUCUAAGUGACUAAAAUGUUGGAAAAAAAGAGGCAGCCCUUGAACCACCUCAUAAUACAGUACAUCUCAUGCAGUUUGGUUUGUUGAUUAUGUGACUUAAUCUGCAGAUGUACAUUCCAAUCCGUGCAUAGUGUCUGAGGGGGAUGAAAUUUAAAAGUUGUCCCAAGACACAGACCCCCCCCCCCUCCAUCCAUACCUUUUAAGGCUUUUUAGGUUUUUGAUGCUCCUCUGUUUCAGCUCCUCUGUUUAGCUGUUUUUUAGUUGCUUUAUUUGCUGAUGAUUUAAGAACAGCCUUUUUGUUUUACCGACUUUAAAAAACACACACCAAAAAACCUUCUCUAUCUACCCCCUCAACUGGGCCCGGUAUUGGUAUCAAUGAAAGGUAAACUAUAAAUCUUUAAAGCAAAUUAUUCAACAUAUGUGGGAGGUGAUAGAGCCUCCCAUGCCUGACAGGGCAGGUACAUUGUGGAAUGUGCCCCUUCGGAUCAAAGGCUGCCAAUGAAGAAUGGGUGGAAGGCUCCCUUGAACUUUGUGGGGACCCCCGUGUUCACAGAAUAGAUCAUGGUCCUAAUGCUUGAGAAGCAGAACUGUCAAUAUUGAGCCAAAGGGAUUCUGGUAUUGUAAUUCAGCACAGUAAAGCAAUAAAAUAAUGAGUACUGGGACUGUCACAAUUUUACAAGUUGUUUAAGAGAGAAUAAUGAUUUAGCAAUGAGUGAAGAGAACUAUCUGAACCUAUCUGUUCUGAACAGGGGCAAGUAAUUUUGUCUUGAUCUUUGUUUCUACUUCCACAAAAUAGAGAUAAUUACUUACCACACAGGAUUACUUAGUGAGCCUCUUAAAAUUCUUUACAAAUGAAAAAAAAAUCAGCUCAAUAUCAGUGUAUUAUUCUAAUAAAGAUGGCAUUGGAUUUAUGGUGCCUCGUGGUAAUUUAUGGAACUAAUUAAAAACUGAGUAGGUUGUGCAGAGUUUUAAAUGCCUAAUCAGUUACUUGAAGACCACCUACCUUUGCGAAGGCGCACACUCCGCACGGUAACAUCCCCCAAGAAUUUAUGAUUAAAAUAAUAAAAGCCAUGAAAUAAAGUGUAAUCCUGAUGUUAAAUUUCCAAGAUAAAACAGUUUGCUGAAAUUGGAAAGUAAUUAGAACAUAUUGUUUGAUAGCAUUUUAAAAAUUGCAAGCUGUUUCAUGUACUUUUGUGCCGACUCUUUGGAAAGCACUUUUGGAGCAUGGCCCAAGUGCAAACUGCAGCAUGAAAAGUAGCUCCAGUCCUUUGGGUUGUGUGGCCACUAUGAAUUGGAUAUACUAGCUAAGUUCAUUGAAGCCGAGCUCAUAAAUUAACUGGAAUUAGUUGGAAUUCUUCAGGUGGCAGUGGCACCUGGAAUGAGAGGCAAGAUUCUAGGACACACACCGCACCUCCAUACACAAAAACCCUUUUCCAGCUCAGAUCAACAUCCAGGCCAGAAAAGCUUUCCCAGAUUCCCUUCUCUUGGCCAACCCUGACCAUCAGGUCCCAAAACACCUUCCUCAUCUGCAAAUGGAGACAAUGGCAGAAGGAGCAUUGGAGAGCAGGGAGGAGGGUUUUUUCCUUCUGUCUCCAUCACCUUAGUAUAUGCCACAACAAGCACCACCACUCUUCCUGCAGCAUAUCAUGGCUGAGAGAACUGUGUUGCCUGAAAUGCAAUGACAUUUGGAUAAAUUCCAUUACCUAUGAGGCCACUGCCCUUUCAAGCCUCUUAACAUGCCAUGGAGUAUGUCAAGACAAGGAAAGAAGGGAAUGCUUUCCUCUCUGCUGUUGCUGCUACUGCCAGCAUCCUGACUUUUGCAGGUAAGUAAACAGAAAGAUAGUGAGGGAUCUGUUAGGGAAAGGGGGCUCAUUUCAUAAACCCCUCAAAUUGUAUCAAGAAAUGAACUGGUCUGUUUCUGGUUGCAGUGGAGGAAUCAGUUCAUUUGCAAAUCAUUUCGAGGAGAGCAUAGGGAAGGCCGAGGUUCACUCAUUUCUACUAAAUACAUAAAAAUAAUAAUAGUGGGGAGGAGAGCAGGCCAACAAGGAACAGGAGCAGAGACAGGUACCAAAAUCUCAACAAUCACUAAGUGCUUUUUUUAUUAGAGACCACAUUUUAUCCUCACUUCCAUAAAUUACUGGUAGAUGUCAAGUUUUGCUAAUACAUUCCAGUAUAUUCUAGAACCAGCGUGGUUACAUGAUACAAAGUGUGCAUAACUAUGCGGAGCAGCAACUUGGGCUGUACAGAUCAGGCUAACAGUUGUGUGGCGAAUGGGGACCAAAAAGGGGCUGUUAGGUGCAGCACUGCACUGUGCUAGCAUUUAUUUCCUGAUCAAGGUUUUGUAUGUAGAAGUUUGCUUCCACACCUCUAUGACCCAUUGCUGGAUCCAGUCAUAGUUUUGAGGAAGGGCCAUAGCUCAUAGUUGGAGCAUCCCAGAUUCAAUCCCCAGCAUCUCCAGGUAGGGCUGAGCUGGAUGGGCCUAAUGGUGUGACUCAGAGUAUAAGGCAAUGCCUUUUGUUCCUAGUUGCAGUAGACUAAUGACUUACUUCUUAUAGAGCGCACUAUGGCAGGCUGUGCUUUGGUAUUGGAAUGGUGAAGAUAAAGCAUGGCACCUAGUCUGAUCACAAAACUGUUGCUGUGGCAAAUCCAUAAUUCAUUCCCAGACUAGCCACAUGAUCUGGCACUGAAUGUCCAUGAAAAAGGCAUGAAAGGUAUUAGCAGAAGGAAGCAACCAAAUGCAAAGCAAGGAUAGUUGGUGCUUGAUGCUGGUAAUCCCAUGAGGGCUAGCAGUGGCCUGGGAUUCUGGCUUCUCAAUAAGAGGUUGAGCCAAGGUUGUUGGGUGGGUCCCUGUGUGAAUUCUGGAUAUCCUAGAAGUCUGCCUUGUGGCAACAAAUACAUUUAUACUGUACCAUAGGCAGAAAAUACUUCAAAAUGGUGCUAUUUUGGUGUUGACAGUACAGCCUCAUCAUAUGGGUAUGUCUGAAAGAGCACAAACUAUCAACAUCAGCCACCCAUCCAAACGUUUGCCUGGGCUUUCAGAUCCUGCAAAAAAAAUACUAUGUUGUAAGCAGCCACCACCAGUGCUAGGCAUGAGGAUUUCAUCACUGCACAGCACCCUGUUGCAGAAGCAAACUUCCAAAUACAGGCCCUGUUCCAAAAGAAUGGUCUGCACCUGGGUGCCUGUUUUCAUAUGGAGGUAGCCCUUGCAUGGGCCAACAGUUUCACAAAGAAAACAAAAGCCCUAGUCUCUCACCAUGAUGAAAAUGGAGAAUGAGGAACAAAAUGAGAUUGCCACAAGUAUAAAUUAGUUUUGCAUUUUUGAUUGUCUAAUUUUUCCCCCCAAAGCGGCUUUCCUAGUUGGCAUGCUCAUAACUACACUGGUGGCACAGAGAUAUGUAAUUAAUCUCCCACUCCCCCAUCCCGUCUCUGUCUAACCCCCCUCCCCACCCACGCCAAAAUAAUGCAUAGUGUAGCCAGAUUCCAAAAAAAGCAUUCUUGCUGGCUUCUGUAAACUCACCUGUAGUUUGCUGACACACUCAUCACUCUGUUUCAAAGCUAUCAAAUGGCAUUUCAGACUGCAUGAGAAAUUAAUAAUGAUCUUGCAAUUCCAGCUCCUGAUGAGUUAGCCAAGAGGAGGCAUAAAGAAUGUAAUGUCAGGAGAACCCCCCACUUAUGGAGCAUCACUUCAAAAACUGCUGAGAAUGGUAAGAAAAACCAAUAGGAUUUUACUUUACUAUUAUUCUCUCAUAUGCUGGGGAGAGGUUGAGGCAGUGGGAAAAUGGUAAAAAAUUGUGAUUAUUCUGUACUUAGUAAAAUACGAUUGAUAUUGGAGUUUUUUGUUCAAGGUCUAUACCAAAGUACUAUUGAGUUCUGAGACAUGUUCCCUUUCUCUGGCUAUAUUUAAAGCAUUUUCAUUGGAAAUAGCAUAAGAAAUCCAACAGCUGUCUUAAACCAUUUUGCUGGAAGGAAAUCAGCAGGGUAACGUCAGUCAUAUUAAUUACUUGCAGGAGGAAGGUAAGCGGAAGAACGAAUUAAAAACAACAGGUUUUAUUUUCUUCCCCCCUCCGUUCUGUCCCCACCCGCAAGAAACCUAGAAGAGAAUAGUUGCAAUUUCAUUUGCUUUUAAAGCAUAGCACUUGGUAAUAAACGGCCCCUGCAAAUGUGCUGAGCAAACACCUUCGCAUUCAUCAAUAUGCGGGAGCUGUUUAUUGCCUCAUAAACUUGGAAGCAAGUGAUAUUGUCUCUUAAAUCAAUGGCUGCCUGGACAUCCUUGGCUCUGGAGAAGAACAGUACAUCCAGACAACGUUGAUACUUAAAUUAAUGACUCUGGUAAUGACUGAAAGGUGCUUAGUCACUGAUGGAAAAAUUAGGCACAGAUCUAAAAUGCUCUCAGCAUACUUAAUAUGUGUACUACAAAACAAAGGGAAUGGAUGGGUACAGGUGUGUGUGUUGUGUGCAUCUCACUGCCGUAACCAAUUUUAAGCAAAGGUUAGUCUGUGAAGACAAACAGAACCAGGCUGACUUUUGCUUCUUCCAAGCUAAUGCCAAAAUCAGUAUUUAAAAUUAAUGAUAAAAACCAACCAUGGCUGGUUGGGAGGAACAUAAAUUGAAUUAGCUUUUUGCCACUUACAAUUAGAUUUAAAAGCCCUUAACUAUUUAAAUUGUAGGUCUGAGCUGGUUGUUGUAACACAUUAGAUCAGACCAAUACCGAACAGCUAUAUAUACCUCAACAGCUGGGAAGUCAGAGAUCAAGAUCAUCACAAUAUGGUCUUGUGCUGGCCAUAAUCCAAAGUCAUAGCAUAAUGAAAAGUUGCCCUUAUUCCAAGUCAAUUUAUCCAUUUAGCCUAGUAUUUCUACUUGGACUGGCAGCAGCUCUCCAGACCCCAAGAGGCAAGUCCAGUGAAGGAGCAGGACGCAGAAGCUUGGCACAAUAGUUUCACUUUUCCAAAAUAAUCCAGCUAGCCUGUCAAAAAUUUCACUAGCCUGCAGAACCAGCAUUGUCUUUUGUUCUUCAGUCUCUUUGUUAAACCCCACUGUUUUGUGGGGAUUUUUAAAAAACUCUCCAUGCAAUGUUUUUGAAAUAUUCUGUUUAUGCAAGGAGAAACCAGCCCAACCUUAUUUCACCAAAGGUUUGUUGAUGAUGGUGAGGGUGGUGGAAAAUCACCAACAGAAUUUUAUCACUUAUAGUGUAUAUGACCAAGAGUAUAGAGCAGUUCAUAGAAACCAGAAAGUCUUGUUUAGCAUUUCAAAAGGUCUAGAGCUUUUUCCAGUUUUGUGUUUUAGUAUUACUUACUUGAUUAAAAUUAAACAUAUUGACACAUUAAUGAGGAAAAUGCAAUGAGAUGCUUGCAGUUUGCCUUAAAAAGAUGAAGAGUUGCACUGAAACUUCAGAGCAACAACACCGAAACUUGUAGCAAAGCGCUUAUAUUGGGAGAAGCCUAUUUUUUUCUUUUUUCUUUUUGAAGCACUUGUUGACAAUCAUACUAGCAAAACCAAAAUUAAUUGUCUUUGCCAGGCACUGCAUUAGCCUAAAUUGUAUCGACACAUUAGAGCGGAGGGAGGGGACUUUCGGAGGGGUGUGAGAAAUUAUCCCUGCAUUUGAGAAAUUAAGAGUGCUAGAUGUUUGGCUCAGUGAAAGAAUUACUGAGAUUCUUGCGGUGUCCUGAAAUGCUUCUAAAAAGAUAAAUUAUUUUGUUAAGGAUAGGUGUGGAAGGCCAGCUUUUUAACUGAACUUCGUAAGAGAAGGCAUCCUGAUGGAACCCAGCAGGGAAGAGGUCAUUCAAAAGUACUUGCAAUCAUCCCUUUUCCUGAUGAAGACCCCAGAAUAGCCACCAGACAUUGUAAGAAUGGCAUUGACACCAAUGACCUUACUACUCUCAUCAGCAAAUAUUAGCUUCAAUUAUAUUUAUUUAUUAAAUUAUAUCCCACCUUUUCUCCAAGGUGCUCAAGGUAACAUAAAUGGUCCCCCCACAGCUUGAUGUUACAUUCACAACAAACCUGUGAAGUUGGUUAGGCUGGGAUGUAGUGAUUGGUCCAAGGUCACUCAAUGAGGUUCAUGGCUGAAUGAGGAUUUGAACUCGGGUCUCCCCAGUGCAAGUCUAGUGCACCACACUGGCUCUCAUUGUUUGUCAUUUCAACAACAUCAACAGGUCACAUUUCACUGCCGUUCUGCAUAUUAACCUAGGGGUGUAAGGGUUCUCCCCGGUUUCUCAGAGCUGAAAUUAAGAAACUGCUUUUUCUUCUGCCACCACACCUCCAAGGAUGAACAAGACCAGCCUGUGGCCCAACUAAACUGAACAUAAUCCAUCAGCCAUGUAAGAAGGCCCAGCAUGCUUGGGGGGGGGGGACAGGAUAAAGGAACACCAGGACAGAGGACAAGAUUAUACCACAAUGCUUCAUUCUUGGUAAAAUCAUCACCUGCUAAAUUUUUGUUAGCUUUUCUUUCAUCCCCCCCCCCACAUUUUAGCCAAUCAUGGUCCUUCCUGAGGCUUCUAAAACAGCAGUUAAAGAAGCUAUCAGAAAACGUGGGCGUGGGGGCUCUGUGCCUCCCUGCUAAGUGGCACACCAUGCAGCAACCCUCUUAACAUCUUGCCAGAGACUGUGCUUUGUGCCAUCAGUUUGGUGUGCUGCUUUCCUCAUUUCCUCCUUCUUUCGACAUAGGCUCUGAUGUCUGUGCAUAGUGGAAACAAAAAUGGACUUAUUUUCAUUAUCUUAGAGGCAGCAACCAUUCAGUUCCUUCUCGCUGACAAACAAGGUUGCUCUAGGAAUCCAAACCCCACUUGACUGUUCAGAAGCUUGCGUAUAAUACACAAAGCCUUUAAAAGGAACAAAUGGCAGGAGCUUGUGUCUCUCAAAUCCUUCCUGGGAUGUGUAAAUGUUAAACAGGUUUGGCUAUCCAGAGCUGUCAAAAUUACAUUGGCAGAUUUUCAGCAAAGGUUAAUUAAACUCAAAUAAAUAAGAUGAUGAUGUUGUGCUCAGACACUCUUAUCAUUCCAUUAUGCAUCUUAGAAGUACAACAAAAUGUUGCAAUGCAGAGUGCUGCUUUUCAGGGUUCCACCCCAACUAGCCAUGUCCUCUUCCAGGAUACACCAGGUCAUUUCCCUCCUCCUCCUCAGUCAGUGUUCUAUGGUUACUGAGCAUGCUCAGUUCCCAGUAGACUAUUUUGGCUAUUUUGGAAAAUCGAUGUUGUAUCUAUAGCGUAUUCAGGUGGUUUGCCAGAUGGGGCAAAGGGAGAAUUCGACCUAUAGAUCUUCCUGAUUUUUUAAAUGUUGGCCAAAGAAAUGCCGAACUUUACUCCUUCUAGCAUUUCUUAAGAGCGAUCAGUAGUUUUAAAUGUAUUUGCCACAUAUCAAAAUAUGUGUGUGCCUUGUGAUCAAUUAUGUGGGGUGGGGCUUACCUGACCACACAACCCCCAUAUGUUCCUCUCUACAGCUACAAGCCUAGGUACACUUAUUUGUAAACCCUAUCAAAAUCAACAACUUUCUUCAUAGUGAAUAUAUUGCUUUGCAAUCAAAGAACGCAGGGUCAGUUGCUGAGACACUUCUUUUUUUUAACCUAUCCCAAUUUGUGUCUUGAUGGGCAGAAGGAAAGGAGACUCUGCAUUUAGUUAUUAUUACCACAUUUCUCCAGCCACUUCCAGCCUAAUGUUCCCCAUCCCUAUUUUAAUUUGAUGGAGGAAGGCUGGGGGGCAUGUGAAACCAUGCAAAUUCAAGAGGGUCUCUUUAUUCUACUGAAUCCAGCUUCUAUCCAGACCCCGGGGGAGGGGGAAACAAUUGACUGGGAGGGGGUGGCCAUGACACUUUCUCAAAAUUCCAAAUGUGCCUUUGGUCCUAAAAAGUUGCCCACUGUACAGCAUUCAGCUCUAUGCUGGUUGUCAGUGCCAGAGCAAGGGAGGUGACAGUGGACCAAACACUUGUUAUGGUCGUAAAUUGUGCUUCAAAAGGGCAUACCAUCUCAGUCAGAGAUACAACCAUGUAAGUGGCAAUCUUGUCUAAGCCUGCAGUCCUGUGCACACCUACCAGGGAGUAAGUCCCAUUGGACUCAGGUGGACCUAGAUACGUAUAGGGUUGCACUCAUAAGAGCCAACUCCCAAGGGCCAAGGUCCCUUCGGUCCCCCAAUAAAAACACUUGAGGGGUUGGGGGGCCCCCCAAAGUUGAUGGGCAUUGCCAUUCAAAUGGUAUGUGUGUGCCUUGUGAUCAAUUAUGUGGGGUGGGGCUUACCUGACCACACAACCCCCAUAUUUUAUUCAAGUUGGCAACCCCGGUUGCAUUGCAAGUUAAUGAAUUGAGAUUUGACUUCUAUGACUAAAUAAAAAUAAACAAAGAGGUUUGUCUCGCUUUAGGAAGAAGUGAGGCUCAAUGGGCAUCUGGACAAGAUAAGAGUACUGUAUUGGAAUGCUAGUUUAAUCUUUCCCCAAUGAAAUAACCAUUCACUUAAUCAGGACGGAAGCAGGAUGAAAACGUUCCACUCAGCAGAUAAAUCCACCAGCUCCCUUAUCCUAUCUCCACCACUGCAAAUGCAUUUAGUUGUCAUCUGGUAUUUCUGUUUUCAUUCUAAUUCUUUCUGCCUUGUUAUUCUGUCAGUUUCUUAAUCUGUUUACACUGACUUUAUUUUUAGUAUGUCUAUUGUGACAGUAAAUCCUAGAAUUGCCUUCGGUGUUGUCUGAAAAUGGCCAUUAUCAAAUCAUAAUGCCUAGCCAGAUGAAGUCCUGUAAGGGCCCUAGGCAAUCACUAGGCAUCCUCAACAGCUGCCUGCAUUUGAGUCCUGCAUAUCAAUUCUCACCUUGGAGGGGGCCCUGCAGUAUUAUCAGGAGUGGAGGAGGAGG
Molecule: long non-coding RNA, 16843 nt
Filed under: Podarcis lilfordi (Lilford's wall lizard)
Lineage: Eukaryota; Metazoa; Chordata; Lepidosauria; Squamata; Lacertidae
Source: RNAcentral